AGUGAACGCUGGCGGUAGGCCUAACACAUGCAAGUCGAACGGCAGCACAGUAAGAGCUUGCUCUUACGGGUGGCGAGUGGCGGACGGGUGAGGAAUACAUCGGAAUCUACUUUUUCGUGGGGGAUAACGUAGGGAAACUUACGCUAAUACCGCAUACGACCUACGGGUGAAAGCAGGGGAUCUUCGGACCUUGCGCGAUUGAAUGAGCCGAUGUCGGAUUUGCUAGUUGGCGGGGUAAAGGCCCACCAAGGCGACGAUCCGUAGCUGGUCUGAGAGGAUGAUCAGCCACACUGGAACUGGGACACGGUCCAGACUCCUACGGGAGGCAGCAGUGGGGAAUAUUGGACAAUGGGCGCAAGCCUGAUCCAGCCAGACCGCGUGGGUGAAGAAGGCCUUCGGGUUGUAAAGCCCUUUUGUUGGGAAAGAAAAGCAGCAGGUUAAUACCCCGCUGUUCUGACGGUACCCAAAGAAUAAGCACCGGCUAACUUCGUG
RNAcentral lists this ribosomal RNA (492 nucleotides) under uncultured bacterium. Its description in RNAcentral is "partial 16S ribosomal RNA". It matches the Rfam family "Bacterial small subunit ribosomal RNA", at positions 29 to 507 of the family's 1533-position model. The record is from RNAcentral.